RNAcentral lists this long non-coding RNA (450 nucleotides) under Eucalyptus grandis. Its description in RNAcentral is "long non-coding RNA (EGRA_LNC000877)". The record is from RNAcentral. Lineage: Eukaryota; Viridiplantae; Streptophyta; Magnoliopsida; Myrtales; Myrtaceae.
GGGGUCGUCUUGCCAAUUUCGAGGAAAGGAUUGUUCUGGUAGUCUUGGUCAAAAAGGCAGGAAUCAAAAGAAGUAAAUAAUUGCCUCGUCCAAGAAACGCCAUCCACCACAAAUUGUCUCUACUUCUAGAUCUGAAGCACAUCGAAUCCUCUACCAGAGCGAGAGCUUCAGCUUGAAUCGGCGGAGGAAGCAAGGGAUCUUCUUUCUCGUGAAUCCAUCGAGCGGUACGCCUGAGGCCGUCGCGAAGAGCACCUGCAAUCGCUCCUUCCGAACCACCGGCUUCAAAGAACCCCAUCGAUAGUUUUCUUGAGGGACGGGGUUUUCGGCGGGCAUCGAUUAACAGGUAAAAUCGACUCGAAUCGCGUCGAGUUUCUAACUUUUUAGUGUUCCGCUCGCUAUAAUUUCUGAUCGUGGACUCCGCUGAGGCGAUUAGGUUUCCUGGGUUUGGUG